GCCGGGAUGGCGGAAUUGGCAGACGCGCACGUUUCAGAGGCGUGUGGGAGCAAUCCUAUGAGAGUUCGACCCUCUCUCCCGGCA
This 84-nucleotide transfer RNA is filed under the name Candidatus Omnitrophota bacterium. Its description in RNAcentral is "Candidatus Omnitrophica bacterium tRNA-Leu". It matches the Rfam family "tRNA". Rfam says of the family: Transfer RNA (tRNA) molecules are approximately 80 nucleotides in length. The record is from RNAcentral. Lineage: Bacteria; Pseudomonadati; Candidatus Omnitrophota.